CCUACGGGUGACAGCAGUGGGGAAUAUUGCACAAUGGGGGAAACCCUGAUGCAGCAACGCCGCGUGAAGGAAGACGGUUUUCGGAUUGUAAACUUCUGUUCUUAGUGAAGAAUAAUGACGGGAGCAAAGGAGCAAGCCACGGCGAACUAGGUGCAAGCAGCAGGGGUAAAACGGAGUUGGCAAGCGUUGGCCGGAAUUACUGGGUGGAAAGGGAGCGCAGGAGGGAAGCCAAGACAGCUGUGAAAACUACGGGCGUAACUUGUAGACUGCAGUUGAAACUGGUUUUCUUGAGUGAAGUAGCGGUUGGCGGAAUUCCGAGUGUAGCGGUGAAAUGCGUAGAUAUUCGGAGGAACACCUGUGGCGAAGGCGGCCAACUGGGCUUUCACUGACGCUGCCUCUCGAACGUGUGGGGAGCAAACAGGAUUAGAUACCCGGGUAGUC
RNAcentral lists this ribosomal RNA (441 nucleotides) under uncultured bacterium. RNAcentral describes it as "partial 16S ribosomal RNA". It matches the Rfam family "Bacterial small subunit ribosomal RNA", at positions 338 to 795 of the family's 1533-position model. The record is from RNAcentral.